UACAGAGGUCCCGAGCGUUGUUCGGAUUUAUUGGGCGUAAAGGGUGCGUAGGCGGCGGAGUAAGUUGGGUGUGAAAUCCCGGGGCUCAACCUCGGAAUGGCAUUCAAUACUGCUUCGCUAGAGUACUGGAGAGGAGGCUGGAAUUUACGGUGUAGCAGUGAAAUGCGUAGAUAUCUGGAGGAAUACCGGUGGCGAAGGCGGCAUCCUGGACCGGCAUUGACGCUGAGGCGCGAAAGCGUGGGGAGCAAACGGG
RNAcentral lists this ribosomal RNA (253 nucleotides) under uncultured bacterium. Its description in RNAcentral is "partial 16S ribosomal RNA". It matches the Rfam family "Bacterial small subunit ribosomal RNA", at positions 524 to 776 of the family's 1533-position model. The record is from RNAcentral.